CACCAAGAAGCUAUACCAGCACUAACUAACUUUUUAAGUUAGAGAUUGAGAGCAUCAUAUUCUCCUUGGUGU
This 72-nucleotide transfer RNA is filed under the name Bubalus bubalis (water buffalo). RNAcentral's name for it is "tRNA-Lys". The record is from RNAcentral. Lineage: Eukaryota; Metazoa; Chordata; Mammalia; Artiodactyla; Bovidae.